Molecule: ribosomal RNA, 317 nt
Filed under: uncultured bacterium
Lineage: Bacteria
Description: bacterial SSU rRNA
Rfam family: Bacterial small subunit ribosomal RNA
Source: RNAcentral
AAUGAACGUUGGCGGCGUGGAUUAGGCAUGCAAGUCGCGCGACAAGGAACCUUCGGGUUCUGGAGGAGCGGCAAACGGGGUAGUAAGGCAUCGGAACGUACCCUCUUGUUGGGAAUAGCCGCGGGAAACUGCGAGUAAUGCCCAAUAAUCCCUACGGGGCAAAGGUCCGCCGCAGGAGGAGCGGCCGAUGUGAUACCAGCUAGUUGGUGAGGUAAUGGCUCACCAAGGCUUAGACGUCUAGGGGGUGUGAGAGCAUGGCCCCCCACCACUGGGACGUGAGAUACUGCCCAGANACCUACGGGUGGGCUGCAGUCGAG